AGUUGAAGUUAGUGAUUCUCUAGGAAACCAGCUUCACUAGUCUGGCUUGUGAGGUAGUAGCCCUAUAAUAAUGCUCCUUCACUAUAGUACAAGCUUGGAUUUUGUUGACUACUUCUGAACACUUGCUCAUCAUUUGAACACUUGCUCAUCAUUUGCAACCAAAUUUCAUGCAUAAUAUAAUCAACAAAAGGCCUAGCAAGUCUUAACAACUUCCUACCUUUAAACCUUAGUAUUUUAAUUGGAUGAAAUUCCACAACUAUUCAAAUCCAAUCACUAGUACCAUACGUCCAAUAAGAAAUAACAUGACCACCCC
Molecule: long non-coding RNA, 313 nt
Filed under: Elaeis guineensis (African oil palm)
Lineage: Eukaryota; Viridiplantae; Streptophyta; Magnoliopsida; Arecales; Arecaceae
Description: long non-coding RNA (EGUI_LNC044945)
Source: RNAcentral